Molecule: long non-coding RNA, 12232 nt
Filed under: Malus domestica (apple)
Lineage: Eukaryota; Viridiplantae; Streptophyta; Magnoliopsida; Rosales; Rosaceae
Description: long non-coding RNA (MDOM_LNC003441)
Source: RNAcentral
GAAUGAAUGCUCCUACUAUUUGAAAACGGGGCAAUACAAAUUUGGCAUAACCUGUAAAUUCCAUCACCCACAGCCUGCUGGAACAACAAUACCGGCUUCUGCACCCCAAUUUUAUCCGUCGGUGCAGUCUCCUGUUCCUUUGGCAGAACAGUAGGGGGGGGGGGCAUCCACCAGUUUGAGGGUGGCUAGGCUUCCACUAUUAACUGGAUCAUAUGUGCAAGGGACUUACGGUCCUGUCUUGAUUCCUCCUGGAGUUGUUCCGAUUCCGGGUUGGAGUCCGUAUUCGGUAUGAUAAAGACAUAUUCAGGUUGAUAUAUGAUUGAAGUUCAUUACUAAUAGUAAUAUGUUAUUACUUGGUGCACGCACCUCUUAGUCCUGUACUAUCUCCUGGAGCUCAACCCACAGUUGGAGCAACUUCUUUAUAUGGAAUAACACAGCUAUCUUCUCCAACACACGGACUUGCAAGCCCUUAUACCUCCAUAACCUCUUCUGUUGGUCCUUCUAGCAGCAACCCGAGUGGACAAGUUUUCCCAGAGAGGCCUGGCGAACUUGAAUGCCAGUAUUAUCUGAAAACUGGGGACUGUAAACAUGGAUCAUCUUGUAGGUAUCAUCAUCCUCGGGAUUGAACUGUACCGAGAAUAACUUGUCUCCUUAGUCCGAUCGAUGGGUCUCCCACUCCGUCCGGUAUGCAAAGUUGUUUUAUAUUACUUUUGAUGAAUCUUUAAUUUUUUUUUUUUUUAAAUUCCGCUGUUAGAAGUUAUCUAGUUCGUCACUUGGUUAUCCAAUUUGGAAGACCCAAGAGUUGUUUUUCUUUUACUCGAUUAAACAGUAAUCUUUUUCCAAAAGCGGAUUGUGGUAUGCUACUAUCACAUCUAAAGGUAUACCUGGUUGACCUCCUUAAUUAGGUGGCAAAGAAAAGGCUGUCAUACUAUGUUUAUGGGUUGAGCAAACAUGUUUUUCAUUUUGAUGGUUCUGCAGUAUAGGUAGGUGUGUUUGUUUACUUUGGUCUCGUUAGCAGUCUUCUUUUAUUAAGGUUAUUUUUUGUGCAAGAAUCUUUGGCAUUGAGUUGUGAAGAAGUUAGUGCUCAGCGUUGUAUAAAUCUGAUUGGUGAUUGAUGUAAUUUAAGGAGACAUUUUGAUAUUUAAUGGGCAUCAACCAACAGGGGCUCAAUAGGGUGGCUGAGGCACAUGGGAUUGUGCCGUGUGGUCUCAGGUUCGAAACCCAAAGGUACCUAUCCAGAUUUGCUACUGUCUCAUGCCCCCAAAUAUUGUAGGGUUGUACGGUGGGCCCGAGUUUAGAACAUGUGUCAAUGAACAUCAGUAGUUGUAUGGUUAAUGUAGGAAUAAUGUUUAUGUGUAAUGUGCUCAAUAUAGGAAUCAGAUGACACGGCAACACAUUAUAAGUUGUAACUCGAAAAACAAAUUUGCCUCUGGUUGCUGAAAAACCUUAUGAAAUGGUUAUCUAUCCAAAAGGUCCUUUAGAAUAAAGGAGCAAGAUGACAGAAGGUUCCUUGACUGGAAAACCUUUGCUGCAGUCCUGAAACAAAAUAAUCUAUGCUGUGUAUGCCCUUCCAAUGAUAUAUACGUAUCUUCGCUUGAGUUUUGUCCUUUGGUCAGCAGCAGCAGUCUCUCAUUUAUCAUACUGAAAUUACAAAGUAAUGGAAACAAUACAUUGUGUCUAUUCUUCACUAUCAUAUUUGUGAGCUGAUAGACCUUUAUACAGAGAAACUAUAUCUUCUUUGCUAGGCCAAGAAAUGUGAAAGUAGGCAGCACAUCUUCAACAUUUGUUGGUCGACAAUAAUUCAACAUUUGUUGACUGAUAAAAACUUUAACAUUUGUUGGCUGACAAGAAAUGAUGUACUGUGCAUAUUUCUUCAGGUGGGUCAUCCACUUUUAUAAUAAUGUACAAUUAUUAAUUACGCAAGGAUGAGGAUCGAUGAAUAAAUAAGUACUGAAGAUGCCAAGCAAAUUACAGCACAACGUGAAGGACCCGGCAUUAAAAGGAAAAGAAUCUCCUCCGGAUCUCUUACGCGGGGAUUUUAAGGAUCCUCACAUCUCAGUUGUUUAUUGUGUAUCGUGCAGUUAUAAAUCAAUUGAUUUUUAUUAUUUAAAAUUAAACACAAAUAGUACCUGAUAAAAACUGACCACACGAUAUAUAAUAAACAGCUAAGAUGUGGGGAUAUUUAGAAUCUCCACGUAAUGGAUCCGGAGGGAUCCCUUUCCGCAUUAAAAAUCAACUUUCAAUUAUUAAGGCCGGCAGUAAUAUAUUCACCAGUCUUUGUUUAUAUUUUAUACAUGAAAUGAUGUGUGAGUGGUUGGAUGAGAGAAGGGUUUAUAAAGACGAGCAGGGGGAGGCAUCUUUCACUACUUUAAUUCACUUCACUUGUAUAUUUACUUGUCCUGAAUACAAGAAAUGGCGGAAGGAGUUCUAUUCAACGUUGCAGCACAGAUCAUCGGAAGGCUAGGCUCCCUUGCUUUCCAAGAGAUCGGAUUGAUUUGGGGUGUCCAAGAUGAGCUCCACAAGCUCCAGGAGAUUGUUGCCGGAUUCCAAGGUGUUCUUCUUGACGUUGAGCAAAAGCAAACCAACAAUGAAGUCAAACUAUGGCUCGAAAGCGUAGAAGAUGCAGUAUGAAGCCGAUGACCUGCUGGAUGAGUUUAAUACUGAAGCUCAGCAGAGACAAAUGAUGUGUGGCAAUACUAAGAUGUCAAGGAAGGUACGCCUCUUCUUCUCUAGCUCAAAUCAACUUGCUUUUCGGCUAAAGAUGGGUCAUAAGAUAAAAGAUAUUAACAAGAGGCUUCGUGAGGUUGCAUCUCGUAGAGCCUUUCCCUUAGAAGUAAAUCGUGAAGAUACACGAUUUAUAAUUAGAGAGAGGAUCACUCACUCAUUUGUCCCUAAGGAAAAUGUUAUAGGGAGAGAUGCAGAUAAAAAGGCAAUUAUUCAACUUUUGUUGGAUCCCAUCUCAACUGAGAAUGUGUCAACCAUUUCCAUAGUUGGAUUUGGAGGAUUGGGGAAAACUGCUCUUGCCCAACUCAUAUUCAACGAUGAGGUGAUUCAAAAUCAUUUUGAGUUGAAAAUAUGGUCAUGUAUCUCUAAUGUAUUUGAGUUGGAUAUAGUCGUUAAGAAAAUACUAAAAGUUGACAAGAUUGAUAUGGAUGAGCUGCAAAAUGAUCUUAGAAGAAAAGUAGGUGGAAAGAAAUACCUAAUUGUGUUGGAUGAUGUGUGGAAUGAGAAUCGGGAGAAAUGGCUUAGCUUGAAGUACUUGUUAAUGGGGGGUGGAAAAGGUAGUAGAAUACUGAUAACCACUCGUAGUGAAACAGUUGCGAAGAUAUCAGACACAGCUAAACCGUACAGCUUAAGGGGUUUGAAUCAAGAGGAAAGUUGGUCUUUAUUUAAGGAAAUGGCUUUUAAAGAUGGAAAAGAGCCAGAGAAUUCAACAAUUAAGGCAAUUGGGAAGGAGGUUGCAAGAAAAUGUCAGGGAGUUCCACUUGCUAUAAGGACAAUAGGUGGGAUGUUGCGCACCAAAUAUCAUGAAACAGAAUGGUUGAAUUUCAAAGAAAAUAAACUUUCAAGAAUAAAUCAGGAUGAAAAUGAAAUUUUACCGACACUUAAACUAAGUUAUGAUGUGCUCCCAUCACAUUUGAAGCAUUGUUUUGCUUACUGUAGCUUGUUCCCACCUGAUUAUGAGAUCUCUAUACCGAUGUUGAUUAGACUUUGGGUGGCGCAAGGGUUCAUUAAGUCAUCCGGUGAAAACGAGAGUUUGGAGGAUGUUGCGUAUGAGUAUUAUAUGGAAUUGUUGUGCAGAUCGUUUUUUCAAGAAGAAGAAAAAGAUGAGUUUGGUAUAAUAACAAGUUGUAAAAUGCACGAUCUCAUGAAUGAACUUGCAAUCUUAGUGUCAGGGGUCGGAAGCACCAUUGUUGAUCUGAACCAAAAGAAAUUUCAUGAAAAGCUUCGUCAUGUAUCUUUCAGUUUUCAGGUUGAUCCGUUGAAAUGGGAAGUGCCAGCUUCCUUGCUAAAAGCAAAAAAGAUACGAACUUUUCUUCUUCCUUGCCAACAGCAUAGAAGUAGUUCAUUAUGUAAUUCAUUUUGCGUUACAAUUAUUUCAAAUUUUAAGUCGUUGCGUAUGUUGAGUCUCAAAGAUUUUGGAAUUUCAAAAUUACCUAUUUGUCUUAAAAAAGUCAAACAUUUGAGAUAUCUUGAUCUUAGUGGUAAUCGCAUCGAGAGACUUCCAGAUUGGAUAGUUGGACUUUCGAAUUUGGAAACACUUGAUCUCUCUUACUGCCAGGAGCUUGUGGAAUUGCCUAGAGACAUCAAAAACAUGAUAAACUUAAGGCAUCUCAUCUUGGAAGGCUGUGAUAAAUUGACUCGAAUGCCACGUGGAUUGGGGGAGCUGACCGGUCUUCGUACAUUGGAUAAAUUUGUUUUAAGCGAAAACAAUUCUUUGUUGAGGGACAGUGCUGGUCUUGGUGAACUGGGAAAGCUUAGGGAAUUAAGGGGACAGUUAGAAAUUAUAAUUUUGAGGCAGGAGAAAGAUGUGAUGUCAGAUUCAAAUGUUGGUACGCCUCUCAAGGAGAAACAGCAUCUCCAUUCAUUGACUUUAAAGUGGAAACGUGGAGAAGAUGUAAACGCAGUUGAUGAGAAGGAUAUUAUAAUGUCAAUUGAAGUGUUGCAACCCCAUUCAAAUCUAAAGAAGUUGUCCGUGUCUCAUUAUGGUGGUGUGACGUUUGCGAGUUGGUUUUCUUCUCUCAUAAAUCUUGUUGAUCUCACAUUGACUGGGUGUCAUAGGUGCCAACAUCUUCCACCCUUGGAUCGUUUCCCAUCCCUUAAGUCUCUUUCUCUUGACGGGUUUGAGAAGUUGGAGUACAUAUCAGACAAUACCACCAGCAGUAAUAGUAUGAGUGAUGAGAUGAUGAAGAUCUCAUUCUUUCCCUCCCUGGAGGAGCUCUCCUUAUUAGGUUGCCCUGUUCUGAAGGGAUGGUGGAGGGCGCACACUCAUAACAAUGCUUCUUCUUCUUCAUCAACGGAAAAUCUGUCGUUGCCUUCUUUUCCCUGUCUUUCUCAAUUGACUAUUGAUGAGUGUCCUAAUCUAACUUCCAUGCCUCUGUAUCCAAAUGUGGAGAGAUUAGAUCUCGAGAGGAGCAGCUGGAAGGUUGUUGAUUCCUUGUUUGUUAGAGGAGCAUCUGAUAUUACACAUGAUGUUGGUGUUGAUGUUUCUGCCUCUUCUUCUUCCCCUCAUCUCUCCAAAUUAACACGUCUGUCACUCAUUAAAAUUGAGGAUUUGGAAUGUCUAACGUCACAAGGAAUGGGCAACGUCCCAUCACUCCAAUCGCUUUACAUUGCCGAUUGCCCAAAUUUGGCAUUACUACCAUAUCAUGGGAUGGGCAACCUCGCAGCCUUUCGGGAGCUUGGAAUUGGAGAUUGCUCCAAUUUGACAUCAAUGUCAGAAGGGAUCGCCAAUCUUACAUCACUUCAGGUGCUUACAAUUGGAAAUUGCUCUGAUCUGACAUUACCGCCGGAAGUGGUCGUCAACCUCCCAUCACUCCAAUCACUUACGAUUAUGUUUUUCCCAAAUUUGGUAUCACUACCGGAAGAAAUAAGCAAUCUCACGUCACUGCAGCACCUUGUACUUAUAUGUUGCCCUAAUUUGGCAUCACUGCCAGAAGGGAUUCGUCGACUCCCCAACUUAAAUGGAUUGAGAAUUAUGAGUUGCCCCAUGUUAAGAGAAAGAUGCGAGGAGGAAAUAGGUGAGGACUGGCCUAAGAUUGCUCACAUCCCAUACAUUAACAUUUGUUAAGGUGCGUUUUCUAACUUGUUUCAAUUUGCACUUGCCAAAUUCAGUAUAAACUCUGAAAUAUUCAAAUGCCAAUAUCGUGUCUUAGUUUUAUUCUUCAUUCUUCAUUCAUCACUAGCAUUUUAUUUUUCUUUUCAGAUGACAUACCAUAUGGUCAAAGAUUUUCUUCACACUUUUGCUUUCUCGUUGACCAACACCGAUUCCACAGCAAAGCGGUAUGCAUUCCUUACCCACUAACUUCAUUUAUUUAUUUAUUUUUUUUCAAAAUGGAACCAACUAGUGACUUUACCACGGCAGUCUACUGUUUUGGAGGUUGCAUUUUAGCCUCUCUACGGCCACCAUCGUGUGGUUCACUAGCACCAAAAAUCGAACAAAGAUGUGCCGUGUAAAAGGCGAAUUUGGAAUUUGUCCCCAACCAUUGAGCCACCCGCAGUGUUUACCUCAAUUUUUUUUUAAUUUCUCUUUAAUUUCCCUACUUGUCUUUUUCAGGUGCUGAAUCCAAAGACGGUUUAGGAGUUUAGAUGGAAUUGAAGCUACCAAGCAACCGGCCAGAUGACAAUUUGUACGGACUUCUUCAACUCAAUUAUUAUGUUGCACAACCGUGUCAGUUUUCGGCAAUUUCCAAACUACAUAAUAAGGCUUUCAAACUUUUCUGGUUCAGGUUUUGCUUCUUAAUUUACUUUCAUGGAUAUGUAGUACUGACUCAAAGAAGAAACACAUGGGAUGAAGGAAGCGAAUAACCAUACAGCUUUUGCUUAUACAUGUGCCUCAUUUCUGCGGAUGUGAUAAAUGGAGGACUGGUUUGAGUUUCCACCAUAAAACUAACUGACAAUAUGGAAAGUAGCCGCCCAUGCAAGGUCCCUCUUCAUAUUUUUCUUUGUUGGUUUGCUUGAAUUGUUAUUUAGUGUGCUUGUUCUGUACCUUGUUUCUUCCAUUAAUAUCUCACUAGAAAGAGCUCUAAAUUGAGUUUUGAACUGUGUAGUUGGAUGGUCGUGUAUUUUAUACACAAUGUUCGUGUUGAGCUUCAACAGCGGAUCAAAUAUCUCAGUGUUGCAUGGAAGCAUGAGAGGACAUCUUCAAAUCUGCAGCAGAUCAAAUUUACUCUUGCUCCGAGCAAACAGUGAGUACUAUACUAAUUAAUAUUUCACUAAAAAUUGCCCAUUUAUAUGUUAAAUUGUUAAAUUUGUGAUUAAACUGAGUAACUUUGAGAUACCAAGAUUAAGUAAAUUCACUGCUUCUUGUUUUCCAGAUUCAGACGAAAGAUGGCUACUUACUGGGUUUGGAAUGUGAAGGACUAAUAGAAGUCGUGUUUGUUAGUGCAAUUUCUGUUUGGUUUGAGAUGUGAAGGACUAAUGAGAUUGCUUUGGUGUGGAGUGUUAAUUUCCCCAUAACUGAUCUGUGAGUAAAAUAUUGAAUCUCUCGACGCCUGAUUAGUGAAAAGCCUUACUUUUAUAGCUCCUUCCGAUUUUUUUCAACAUACCACUAAGUCGAUUGUUUCAGAAUUUGAAUAUAUAGCUCACUAUAUGGUGCUCCCUGAUCUGAAGUUUUCAGUUUUUGUGGAAUUUUAUUUUCUUGAAACUAACUAUUGGGUAAAGUGAUGAACAUCCAUGGGAUACAUUUUAAAUUAGGCUCUAAUGUGCUUCAAACUCAAUUGAACUUGGUUACCAGCUUUUCCUGAUCUUAACCAUUUGAUGCAUGGUUCUUAAAUUCUUGAGAAGAAUAACUGGGAUUUGUCCUUGCAGAUGAAGGUUUCGAGGCAUGUGUAGGGAAUGUGCGUGGAACACGAAGGGGUCAUGGACACACAUCUUUAUCAGAAAAGACAGAAAUGAUGCGCUGCAUAUAUCGACAACAAGCUCCAAAGUCUUUGCUGUUGGACAUUCACAGGUUUUGCACCUCUUCAUCUACUUCACAUCUCCUUCCGUUGCUGCUACUUUUGGUGUUUACUCAAUUUAUUCAUGUUAUUAGGGAACAAUCAUGCCUUUAGCUGCUCUCACCCAGCCGGACAUAGCAGAACUGGUUGAAUCUGCCUGGUCUUUUCUGUCCAAUAUCAUACUUGGAGCAUAUCACUUCUAAAUUUGCACUUAGAAUGGUCAACAUAUAUGUUGAUCAGGUAUUCCUUAUCUUCUUCAAAGUAUACCGCAUGAUUGGCUUCUCUAAUAGAAUUGAUGCAUCUGUUCAUCUUUUCAGAUGAUUCUGUUCAACUUUUGGAUUCAAUCUCUGAUGGCCAUGUUGACUGCCCAGAGUGGUUGUAUAUGUUUUUGCUUUUGAUCGACGGGUUUAGGUACUAUGUUCCUCCGUUGUAUGUUUUUCUACAAGUAAUAUAAUAUGGGCGUGAGGGUCUAGCCCCCCAGCUUUGACUGGGUUCCAGCCCUCUUUAAAUAUUUCUUUUAAAUAUCUGUUGGUAAAAAAAGACAAAUUUUGAAUGUUUGCCCCAGGCACCAAAAAAACGUCAGGACCAGCGUUGUGGUUUGGCCUUCUUUGGGCUGCUUUUGUUUUCAGUUUCAGUAGAAUAAAAUUAUGGUGAUACCAUUAAUACAAAUUAACUAUAACCAAACCCCACAUGGCUUGGGAACACAAAAGUAGCGAAAAAGAAAAGGAAAGGAAACUAACCAACAACUUUAAUUUACGGAUUGAGAUCCACUCCUGAUCUUUGUGUCUGAUGUUCAUAGAUUAGGAGAUUUGUACUACUCAAUUUUAAUCUACAGUCCCUAUAUUUUAAUAAUCCAUUUCACAAAAACCUAAAAACUUAAAUGGCUCACAUCUCAUUCUCUCUCUUAAAUGGUCCAACUCUCUCGGUUUGUGGGCUCCGGACAGAGAUGUGUAGGGGAUGUCAUUUCAUAAUUUGGUUUGGUGAGAUGAGAAUGUUCACACGUAGUGUUGCUUUUUCCAAAUUUUCAAUUUUUAGUGCCGUUGGUUGACCAAGUUCUUACUCCAACUUGGAAGGUGUGUGCGUUGAUCACUUCUGUGAGAGAGACUGAUGUAGAAGGCACUUUUGCUCGUAUGAUCAAUUGUUUGGACUCGAAUGUUCAAUAAAUGGCAAGAGAUUAAGGGCUACCUUGGGCUUUUCUUUUGGAACUUGACGAGUUCGACCACUCAACCUUUGGCGUCAAUCUUAAAUAUUUGGGUUUAAGUCGGAAAACAUGUGACCCAAACCUAAGUCCCAAACCCAAAAAAUUUGGAUUCCAAACACAAAAUAUUUGGGUUUGGACACAAAUCAAAACCUAAAUUUGGGUUCAGAUUUGGCUGACCCAAAUUUGGAGUGGGUUCUAUUUUUUAUUAAGUUGCUGAAUUUAAAACUUAGGGGCUGACAGUUGGACCACGCGUGGCAGGGACCUAGUUGUCUAACGGUAACCUUGGGUUUAAAUCCGGACCUUUUGAUUUCUGGACAGUUGGUUAUCUAAGGUCCAGAUCAAACUCAUUUCCUUUGUUUGCGCAAUCUUUUGAAAUUGGUCAUAGUGCAUAUUUACUCUUGUCAAAUCCAAUGGUAAAAAAAAAUUUAGCGGCCGAAAUUUAAAUCAAAUGAUUAAAAAAAAAAAUUCUAAACUAAUCCACUUUAGUAAUCAUUCCAAACCCUAUAAAUAUUCAUUCAUUUGUUCACUCAUCUACACAAAAUAAAUUUCUUCCUCGUAUAAUUUUCAUGUCCUUCUUUCGGAUCCACACCCCCCCCCACCCCCAAUUUUUUUAUGAAGAUGUCUGCAGGAGAAAAUGCAAGAGGUCCAAAAUUAGAAGAAAAAAAAUUGUGAAGCUUUCUGUGUGGCUUGGUGUUGCAAUUUCUCAUGUUGCAAUUUCUCAAAUGAAAAUUUAUUGGGACUUAUAUUGAAUUUUAAUGUGUCUCACAACCUGAAGAAAUUGGGAGGGGUUGUAUAUGAUUUUGCUUUUAAUCGACGGGUUUAGGUACCAUGUCCCCCCGUUGUAUGUUUUUCUUCAAGUAAUAUAAUAUGUGCGUGAAGGCCUAGUCGCCCAAAUUUGACUGGGUUCCAACCCUCUGUAAAUAUAUAUUUUUUAUUAUAUGUUGGUGUAUUAAAAAAAGUACACUUUGAAUGUUCGUCCCGAGCACCAAAAUACUCAGGACUGGCCUUGUAGUUUGGCCUUCUUUGGGUUGCUUUUAUUUCUAGUUGUAGUAGAAUUAAAAUGUGGUGAUACCAGUAAUGUAAAUUAAUUGUAUUGUAACCAAAUACCACGUGUGGGAAAAAGGAAAAGGAAAAGGAAAAAGAAAAGGAAAAGGAACCAACCAACUACAAUUACUUGGGGAUUGAGAUCCACUCGUUAUCUUUGUGUUCGAUGUUCGUCAAUUAAGAGAUUCGGACAAUUCAAUUUUAAUUUACAAUUCUUACAUUUCAGUGCAUUACCUCCCAAAAACCUAAAAACUUGAACUAGUAUCUUACUCUCUCUUGAAUGGUCCAAAUCUCUUGGUUUGCGGCCACAUUGUACAUUCGGCCUGCAAAAUGGUCAGUGCAAGUUUGGAUCUACAUGCAAAUUUGACCAUCCAGUGCAGACCAUGAGGUACAACCUCUCAGCUUCAUCUCCCGUUGAUAUGCCUGUUGUUCAAUAUCCGGUUGGGUCUCUGCUGGCCACCCUGGCUCCAUCAUCCUCAUCAUCGGAUCUCCGGCCUCCAAGGUACUCCUUUACUUGCUCGGCGUUUUAAUUUCGCUUCGUUUGAGCUCGAUUUGGGCUAAUUUCGUAAUCUGGGGUUUCUUGGGUUUUGUGUUUGGUUUGGUAAUGUGGGGUUGUGAUUGGGGUUUUGUUCUGGUUUGGGGGUGAAUUGUAGAUCAAAUGUGGCCAUUGGGGCUGACGAGCAGCGAAUCGUACCCGGAGAGACCCGGCGUGCCCAACUGUGUCUACUACAUGCGAACCGGGUUCUGUGGAUACGGUGGUCGGUGCCGGUACAACCAUCCUCGUGAUCGUGCUGCUGUAAGUCCUUGUUCGUUGUAAACUUGCAUUGCAAUCAGUUAAUGAGCUUUUUCGAUACUGCUUAAUUGCGGGUUUUGAUAUGUAAACUAGUACUCAAGCUUUCGGUGAUAGGUGACUGCAACAGGAUAUAUAGGUUGUUUUGAAUUUUCGUAGGUUUGAGUGUUUUGUUGCAGGUAGUUUUUUGUCCCUUUACCUGAAACUAGAUGAUUGUUUGUUUGCUGAGAAAGCUGGGGAAAAGAAAUGGGAACUUUUUUUGAAAUUUAUUCGACAUAGUUAAACUAGUCUAUAUUUGAUGAAAUAUUAGGCCUAAUAUUUGUGUUUUGGGCUCGGUGCAGUGGGAAAUGUCGUCUUUACAACUGCUUGGAUUUUAUUGGUAACUGAAAUCGUCUUUUCUUGUGAAUUUUGUUACCUUUUGUUUAUGAUUUCGGUUUGAUGCUGCACGUAGGUCGUGGCAGCUAUAAGAGCUACAGGGGAUUACCCAGAGAGAGUGGGGAAACCUGUAUGUCAGGUAUGAAGUAGAUUUCUGAUCUGUUGUCAAACGUGAACUUCCUGCCUGAUAAUGACAAUGUAGAUCUGGAAACUUUUCAGCAACUUUGUUAUGUUGUCCAUUUAUUUGUUUGAGCUUUGAACUUCAUAUGUGAUUGUGGCAUAUAUUUGUCUAAUGUGCAGUAUAUUUACAGACUGGGACCUGUAAAUUUGGUGCGUCCUGCAAAUUCCACCAUCCAAAACAUGGAGCUGGAUCCUUAAACCGAGCUCCCCUAAAUAUUUAUGGAUACCCUCUCAUCUACAUAUGGGUGUGUGUAGACUUUUGUGAAAUUUGUGGAGCAAGUGGCUCACAGUUGUUUUUUUUUUUUUCAAUUAAUUUUAAAUUUUUUUAUAACAGGGCGAGAAUGAAUGCUUCUACUAUUUGAAAACGGGGCAAUGCAAAUUUGGCAUAACCUGUAAAUUCCAUCAUCCACAGCCUGCUGGAACAACAAUACCGGCUUCUGUACCCCAAUUUUAUCCGUUGGUGCAGUCUCCUGUUCCUUUGGCAGAACAGUAUGGGGGGGCAUCCACCAGUUUGAGGGUGGCUAGGCCUCCACUAUUAACUGGAUCAUAUGUGCAAGGGACUUACUGUCCUGUCUUGAUUCCUCCUCCUGGAGUUGUUCCGAUUCAGGGUUGGAGUCCGUAUUCGGUAUGAUAAAGACAUAUUCAGGUUGAUAUAUGAUUGAAGUUCAUUACUAAUAGUAAUAUGUUAUUACUUGGUGCAGGCACCUCUUAGUGCUGUACCAUCUCCUGGAGCUCAACCCACAGUUGGAGCAACUUCUUUAUAUGGAGUAACACAGCUAUCUUCUCCAACACACGGACUUGCAAGCCCUUAUACCUCCAUACCCUCUUCUGUUGGUCCUUCUAGCAGCAACCCGAGUGAACAAGUUUUCCCAGAGAGGCCUGGUGAACUUGAAUGCCAGUAUUAUCUGAAAACUGGGGACUGUAAAUAUGGACCAUCUUGUAGGUAUCAUCAUCCUCGGGAUCGAACUGUACCGAGAAUAACUU